Molecule: ribosomal RNA, 472 nt
Filed under: uncultured bacterium
Lineage: Bacteria
Description: bacterial SSU rRNA
Rfam family: Bacterial small subunit ribosomal RNA
Source: RNAcentral
GCCCAGACUCCUACGGGAGGCAGCAGUGGGGCCUCUUGCGCAAUGGGCGCCAGCCUGACGCCGCGACGCCGCGUGCGGGAUGAAGGUCUUCGGAUCGUAACCCUCUGUCAGCAGGGACGACCGGUCACUGUGCUCAUCAGCAGUGAAUUGACGGUACCUGCAAAGGAAGCACCGGCUAACUCCGUGCCAGCAGCCGCGGUCAUACGGAGGGUGCGAGCGUUAAUCGGAAUUACUGGGCGUAAAGCGCUCGUAGGCGGUAUGUCAAUGCAAGGGUGAAAUCCCCGCGCUCAACGUGGGAACUGCCUUUGAAACUGGCAAACUGGAGUGUGUGAGAGUAUAGUGGAAUUCCAGGUGUAGGAGUGAAAUCCGUAGAUAUCUGGAGGAACAUCAGUGGCGAAGGCGACUAUCUGGCACAUAACUGACGCUGAGGAGCGAAAGCGUGGGUAGCAAACAGGAUUAGAUCCCCGUGUAC